CUAACCCUGCAGUCGACGAUGAUGGGAGCUUGCUCCUGGAUUAGUGGCGAACGGGUGAGUAACACGUGAGUAACCUGCCCUUAACUCUGGGAUAAGCCUGGGAAACUGGGUCUAAUACCGGAUAUGACUCCUCAUCGCAUGGUGGGGGGUGGAAAGCUUUAUUGUGGUUUUGGAUGGACUCGCGGCCUAUCAGCUUGUUGGUGAGGUAAUGGCUUACCAAGGCGACGACGGGUAGCCGGCCUGAGAGGGUGACCGGCCACACUGGGACUGAGACACGGCCCAGACUCCUACGGGAGGCAGCAGUGGGGAAUAUUGCACAAUGGGCGCAAGCCUGAUGCAGCGACGCCGCGUGAGGGAUGACGGCCUUCGGGUUGUAAACCUCUUUCAGUAGGGAAGAAGCGAAAGUGACGGUACCUGCAGAAGAAGCGCCGGCUAACUACGUGCCAGCAGCCGCGGUAAUACGUAGGGCGCAAGCGUUAUCCGGAAUUAUUGGGCGUAAAGAGCUCGUAGGCGGUUUGUCGCGUCUGCCGUGAAAGUCCGGGGCUCAACUCCGGAUCUGCGGUGGGUACGGGCAGACUAGAGUGAUGUAGGGGAGACUGGAAUUCCUGGUGUAGCGGUGAAAUGCGCAGAUAUCAGGAGGAACACCGAUGGCGAAGGCAGGUCUCUGGGCAUUAACUGACGCUGAGGAGCGAAAGCAUGGGGAGCGAACAGGAUUAGAUACCCUGGUAGUCCAUGCCGUAAACGUUGGGCACUAGGUGUGGGGGACAUUCCACGUUUUCCGCGCCGUAGCUAACGCAUUAAGUGCCCCGCCUGGGGAGUACGGCCGCAAGGCUAAAACUCAAAGGAAUUGACGGGGGCCCGCACAAGCGGCGGAGCAUGCGGAUUAAUUCGAUGCAACGCGAAGAACCUUACCAAGGCUUGACAUGAACCGGUAAUACCUGGAGACAGGUGCCCCGCUUGCGGCCGGUUUACAGGGGGGGCAUGGUUGUCGCCACUCCUGCCGGGAAAGUUGGGUUAAUUCCG
This 1023-nucleotide ribosomal RNA is filed under the name Arthrobacter sp. RNAcentral describes it as "bacterial SSU rRNA". It matches the Rfam family "Bacterial small subunit ribosomal RNA", at positions 48 to 1088 of the family's 1533-position model. Lineage: Bacteria; Bacillati; Actinomycetota; Actinomycetes; Micrococcales; Micrococcaceae. The record is from RNAcentral.